This 400-nucleotide ribosomal RNA is filed under the name uncultured bacterium. RNAcentral describes it as "bacterial SSU rRNA". It matches the Rfam family "Bacterial small subunit ribosomal RNA", at positions 355 to 747 of the family's 1533-position model. The record is from RNAcentral.
UGGGGAAUAUUGGACAAUGGGCGCAAGCCUGAUCCAGCCAUACCGCGUGGGUGAAGAAGGCCUUCGGGUUGUAAAGCCCUUUUGUUGGGAAAGAAAAGCACACGGUUAAUACCCGAGUGUUCUGACGGUACCCAAAGAAUAAGCACCGGCUAACUUCGUGCCAGCAGCCGCGGUAAUACGAAGGGUGCAAGCGUUACUCGGAAUUACUGGGCGUAAAGCGUGCGUAGGUGGUGAUUUAAGUCCGUUGUGAAAGCCCUGGGCUCAACCUGGGAAUUGCAGUGGAUACUGGGUCACUAGAGUGUGGUAGAGGAUAGUGGAAUUUCCGGUGUAGCAGUGAAAUGCGUAGAGAUCGGAAGGAACAUCUGUGGCGAAGGCGACUAUCUGGGCCAACACUGACACU